RNAcentral lists this ribosomal RNA (520 nucleotides) under uncultured bacterium. RNAcentral's name for it is "bacterial SSU rRNA". It matches the Rfam family "Bacterial small subunit ribosomal RNA", at positions 120 to 674 of the family's 1533-position model. The record is from RNAcentral.
GGGAACGUACCUUUCGGUUCGGAAUAAUUCAGGGAAACUUGGACUAAUACCGGAUACGCCCUUCGGGGGAAAGAUUUAUCGCCGAUAGAUCGGCCCGCGUCUGAUUAGCUAGUUGGUGAGGUAAUGGCUCACCAAGGCGACGAUCAGUAGCUGGUCUGAGAGGAUGAUCAGCCACAUUGGGACUGAGACACGGCCCAAACUCCUACGGGAGGCAGCAGUGGGGAAUAUUGGACAAUGGGCGCAAGCCUGAUCCAGCCAUGCCGCGUGAGUGAUGAAGGCCUUAGGGUUGCAAAGCUCUUUUGUCCGGGAAGAUAAUGACUGUACCGGAAGAAUAAGCCCCGGCUAACUUCGUGCCAGCAGCCGCGGUAAUACGAAGGGGGCUAGCGUUGCUCGGAAUCACUGGGCGUAAAGGGCGCGUAGGCGGACUUUUAAGUCGGGGGUGAAAGCCCAGGGCUCAACCCUGGAAUUGCCUUCGAUACUGGGAGUCUUGAGUUCGGAAGAGGUUGGUGGAACUGCGAGU